Molecule: ribosomal RNA, 468 nt
Filed under: uncultured bacterium
Lineage: Bacteria
Description: partial 16S ribosomal RNA
Rfam family: Bacterial small subunit ribosomal RNA
Source: RNAcentral
GACGAACGCUGGCGGCGUGCUUAACACAUGCAAGUCGAACGGAAAGGCCCUGCUUUUGUGGGGUGCUCGAGUGGCGAACGGGUGAGUAACACGUGAGUAACCUGCCCUUGACUUUGGUAUAACUUCAGGAAACUGGGGCUAAUACCGGAUAGGAGCUCCUGCUGCAUGUUGGUGGUUGGUAAGUUUCGGCGGUUGGGGAUGGACUCGCGGCUUAUCAGCUUGUUUGUGGGGUAGUGGCUUACCAAGGCUUUGACGGGUAGCCGGCCUGCGAGGGUGAACGGCCACAAUGGGACUGAGAUACGGCCCAGACUCCAACGGGAGGCAGCAGUGGGGAAUAUUGCAAAAUGGGAGGAAGCCUGAUGCAGCAACGCCGCGUGCGGGAUGACGGCCUUCGGGUUGUAAACCGCUGUCGCAUGUGACGAAGCGUGAGUGACGGUAAUGGGUAAAGAAGCACCGGCUAACUACGUG